UGAUCUAGAGAGGUAAGGCUUCGUUAGAUCUGUGUUGAUUCAUGGAUUCUAGCUAGAUUAGGGUUCUUAUUUCGGUAUUGACUCUUCUUGUGCUGGAUUUUUCUCCCGAUCAGAUUGGUCCUCCUCUUCUUGCGGCUGAUUGGGGAAUUCGGUUGAAGAGGUUGAGACCAGUGAGUGGUGCUUGGGCUGUAGGGCAGAGACUUCAGGUGUUGAUGCUUGAUCAGUAGUCUUCCUGCUUGAUUCCACUGUGAUCCGAUUGAUUUCCAGUGAGGUUGAGUGUCCUGUGGAUCUGGAAUUGUGGUUCCGGCAGCACCUCAACCAGUAGCUCCUUUGGUUUCAACAAUCAACAGCGGUUGCUAAUUGAGGAUCUUGUCUGGUCCAACAGAUCACUUUGUUUUCCAACAGCUCAAUUGAGUGAGAUUCUGUUGCUGUGAUGCUGGAGUUGUGAUCUUUGAGGUGUAUCCAGCAGCUUUCCCUAACCGGCAGCAACACCUUUGAUUGUGAUCUAUUGGUGAUCACCUUGGAUUUGAGGAUUCUGAUUCGAGACAGGCGUCUCGACGUUGACUUCGGAUUUGGGAUUGUACCUU
This is a long non-coding RNA of Zingiber officinale, 587 nucleotides long. RefSeq lists it as uncharacterized. NCBI's taxonomy places the organism in Eukaryota, Viridiplantae, Streptophyta, Magnoliopsida, Zingiberales, Zingiberaceae. The transcript has 3 exons. The record is from RefSeq and is a predicted model, not a curated record.